Non-coding RNA from Orbilia javanica, 123 nucleotides. NCBI's taxonomy places the organism in Eukaryota, Fungi, Ascomycota, Orbiliomycetes, Orbiliales, Orbiliaceae. The record is from the annotation of a GenBank genome assembly.
GCGGGGAUAGCUCAGUUUGGGAGAGCGCCAGACUGAAGAAAAUAUACUUCGGUUGUUAAGGAGGUAUUCUACUUCGAUACCUUUGGGAUCUGGAGGCCGGGUGUUCGAUCCACCCUCACCGCA